RNAcentral lists this ribosomal RNA (466 nucleotides) under uncultured bacterium. Its description in RNAcentral is "partial 16S ribosomal RNA". It matches the Rfam family "Bacterial small subunit ribosomal RNA", at positions 28 to 507 of the family's 1533-position model. The record is from RNAcentral.
GAUGAACGCUGGCGGCGUGCUUAACACAUGCAAGUCGAACGGAAAGGCCACAGCUUGCUGUGGUACUCGAGUGGCGAACGGGUGAGUAACACGUGGGUGAUCUGCCCUGUACUUCGGGAUAAGCUUGGGAAACUGGGUCUAAUACCGGAUAGGAAUCACAUGUGGGUGUGUGGUUGGAAAGCUUUUGCGGUAUGGGAUGAGCUCGCGGCCUAUCAGCUUGUUGGUGGGGUAAUGGCCUACCAAGGCGUCGACGGGUAGCCGGCCUGAGAGGGUGUACGGCGACAUUGGGACUGAGAUACGGCCCAGAAUCCUACGGGAGGCAGCAGUGGGGAAUAUUGCACAAUGGGGGCAAGCCUGAUGCAGCGACGCCGCGUGGGGGAUGACGGCCUUCGGGUUGUAAACUCCUUUCGUCAGGGACGAAGCGAAAGUGACGGUACCUGGAUAAGAAGCACCGGCUAACUACGUG